UUUACUCCUACGGGAGGCAGCAGUGGGGAAUAUUGCACAAUGGGCGCAAGCCUGAUGCAGGGACGCCGCGUGAGGGAUGACGGCCUUCGGGUUGUAAACCUCUUUCAGUAGGGAAGAAGCGAAAGUGACGGUACCUGCAGAAGAAGCGCCGGCUAACUACGUGCCAGCAGCCGCGGUAAUACGUAGGGCGCAAGCGUUAUCCGGAAUUAUUGGGCGUAAAGAGCUCGUAGGCGGUUUGUCGCGUCUGCCGUGAAAGUCCGGGGCUCAACUCCGGAUCUGCGGUGGGUACGGGCAGACUAGAGUGAUGUAGGGGAGACUGGAAUUCCUGGUGUAGCGGUGAAAUGCGCAGAUAUCAGGAGGAACACCGAUGGCGAAGGCAGGUCUCUGGGCAUUAACUGACGCUGAGGAGCGAAAGCAUGGGGAGCGAACAGGAUUAGAUACCCUGGUAGUCCAUGCCGUAAACGUUGGGCACUAGGUGUGGGGGACAUUCCACGUUUUCCGCGCCGUAGCUAACGCAUUAAGUGCCCCGCCUGGGGAGUACGGCCGCAAGGCUAAAACUCAAAGGAAUUGACGGGGGCCCGCACAAGCGGCGGAGCAUGCGGAUUAAUUCGAUGCAACGCGAAGAACCUUACCAAGGCUUGACAUGAACCGGUAACGCCUGAAACCAUGUGGCCC
This 675-nucleotide ribosomal RNA is filed under the name Arthrobacter sp. RNAcentral's name for it is "bacterial SSU rRNA". It matches the Rfam family "Bacterial small subunit ribosomal RNA", at positions 332 to 1016 of the family's 1533-position model. Lineage: Bacteria; Bacillati; Actinomycetota; Actinomycetes; Micrococcales; Micrococcaceae. The record is from RNAcentral.